This 89-nucleotide small RNA is filed under the name Enterobacteriaceae bacterium RIT711. RNAcentral describes it as "partial RtT sRNA". It matches the Rfam family "RtT RNA", at positions 39 to 130 of the family's 130-position model. From Rfam's summary of the family: This family represents a bacterial cis-regulatory element known as RtT RNA. The exact function of RtT is unknown although it is thought that it may be involved in changing the cellular response in relation to amino acid starvation. The record is from RNAcentral. Lineage: Bacteria; Pseudomonadati; Pseudomonadota; Gammaproteobacteria; Enterobacterales; Enterobacteriaceae.
UGGUUCGAGUUGAGCGAAAGCGAAACAGCGUUGCAUAGCAACGACCCGAAGGGUGAGGCCAAGGCCGAAUCAUCCUGCACGCCCCACCA